GCCUUUAUGGUGUAAUGGUCAGUACACUUGACACAUAUUGAGGGGUCCGAGGUUCGAGUCCCGGUGAUGGCA
This 72-nucleotide transfer RNA is filed under the name Stegodyphus mimosarum. It matches the Rfam family "tRNA". From Rfam's summary of the family: Transfer RNA (tRNA) molecules are approximately 80 nucleotides in length. The record is from Rfam by way of RNAcentral. Lineage: Eukaryota; Metazoa; Arthropoda; Arachnida; Araneae; Eresidae.